UUGGGUUAAGUCCCGCAACGAGCGCAACCCUCGCCUCUAGUUGCCAGCACGAUUGGGUGGGCACUCUAGUGGAACUGCCGGUGACAAGCCGGAGGAAGGUGGGGAUGACGUCAAGUCCUCAUGGCCCUUAUGGGCUGGGCUACACACGUGCUACAAUGGCGGUGACAGUGGGAAGCCAGGUGGUGACACCGAGCCGAUCCCUAAAAGCCGUCUCAGUUCGGAUUGCACUCUGCAACUCGGGUGCAUGAAGGUGGAAUCGCUAGUAAUCGUGGAUCAGCACGCCACGGUGAAUACGUUCCCGGGCCUUGUACACACCG
RNAcentral lists this ribosomal RNA (317 nucleotides) under Geminigera cryophila. RNAcentral's name for it is "partial Bacterial small subunit ribosomal RNA". It matches the Rfam family "Bacterial small subunit ribosomal RNA", at positions 1075 to 1392 of the family's 1533-position model. The record is from RNAcentral. Lineage: Eukaryota; Cryptophyceae; Pyrenomonadales; Geminigeraceae.